Molecule: non-coding RNA, 262 nt
Organism: Phascolarctos cinereus (koala)
Lineage: Eukaryota; Metazoa; Chordata; Mammalia; Diprotodontia; Phascolarctidae
Source: RefSeq, a predicted model, not a curated record
CACCAUGCUACCUCUUUAGAUCGAGCCCGGCCAGAAAGCUAACCGUAACGGGGUCUAGGAGGAAGCUCUAAGGCGAGGCUGGACUUGUCUUGAAGACUCUCCAAAAGAAGAUGCUAACUUGGGGUGCUUAAUCAUUGACCAUUGUCUUACCUUCAGUCUCAACUGGUGUUUCUGUGACGACAGAAGAAAACUCCCUGAAGAUUUUGCUGGAAUUCUCCAAAGACUUCCAUUGCUCCUCAAUGACUUCAGCUCCAGCAGAAUA